This 454-nucleotide ribosomal RNA is filed under the name uncultured bacterium. RNAcentral's name for it is "bacterial SSU rRNA". It matches the Rfam family "Bacterial small subunit ribosomal RNA", at positions 340 to 786 of the family's 1533-position model. The record is from RNAcentral.
UACGGGAGGCAGCAGUGGGGAAUAUUGCACAAUGGGCGCAAGCCUGAUGCAGCCAUGCCGCGUGUAUGAAGAAGGCCUUCGGGUUGUAAAGUACUUUUCAGUCGUGAGGAAGGUGUUAAGGUUAAUAACCUUAGCAAUUGACGUUAGCGACAGAAGAAGCACCGGCUAACUCCGUGCCAGCAGCCGCGGUAAUACGGAGGGUGCGAGCGUUAAUCGGAAUUACUGGGCGUAAAGGGCACGCAGGCGGUUAAUUAAGUUGGAUGUGAAAUCCCCGGGCUUAACCUGGGAAUGGCAUUCAAGACUGGUUAGCUAGAGUCUUGUAGAGGGGGUAGAAUUCCGAUGUGUAGCGGUGAAAUGCGUAGAGAUGUGGAGGAAUACCGGUGGCGAAAGCGGCCUCUAAACGAUACUGACACUGAGGUGCGAAAGCGUGGGGAGCAAACAGGGAUUAGAUACC